Molecule: ribosomal RNA, 420 nt
Filed under: uncultured bacterium
Lineage: Bacteria
Description: partial 16S ribosomal RNA
Rfam family: Bacterial small subunit ribosomal RNA
Source: RNAcentral
AUAUUGGAUAAUGGGGGCAACCAUGAUCAAGCCAUCCCGCGUGCGUGAAGAAGGUCGUCGGAUUGUAAAGAACUUUAUGUUGGGAGGAAGGGAUUUAGGCUAAUACCCUGAAGUUUUGACGUUACCAACAGAAAAUGCACCGGCUAACCCUGUGCCAGCAGACGCCGUAAUACAGAGGGUGCAAGCGUAAUCGGAAUUACUGGUCGUAAAGCGCGCAUAGGUGUUGCAGUAAGAUGGGUGUGAAAUCCCCGGGCUUAACCUAGGAACUGCUUUCAUAACUGCUUAGCUAGAGUACGGUAGAGGGUAGUGGAAUUUCCUGUGUAGCGGUGAAAUGCGUAGAUAUAGGAAGGAACACCAGUGGCGAAGGCGACUACCUGGACUGAUACUGACACUGAGGUGCGAAAGCGUGGGGAGCAAACA